Molecule: long non-coding RNA, 201 nt
Filed under: Musa acuminata (dwarf banana)
Lineage: Eukaryota; Viridiplantae; Streptophyta; Magnoliopsida; Zingiberales; Musaceae
Description: long non-coding RNA (MACU_LNC005209)
Source: RNAcentral
UAGUGCGUGUAUUGUAAUGUCGGUCGGUUGUGGCUCUUCUUCUGCAUCUUCUUCUUCAUAUUCAAGGCUCUCUUCUAGAUGUUCAAUGACCUCUUCUUCUUCUGGUUCAAUCAUAAGAAGUCUCCCCUUUCUACAGCGAUGCUCGCGGCUCUACGGCUCAUUGCAGUGCCAACAUAACCCCUUCGUAGAUCACUCCCGAAG